AAUGGUGUACUUGGUGCGAGAACUGCUUGGUGAGAAUGAGAGAAUCGCAUGGAUCGUCGUGAUGGAAAGGGCGGUCCCACCGGAGACGGCGCAGGUGAGAAACGGGCUUCCUCGGACCAGGAAAAACCGGAGAUUCGAGGAAGGGAGGUCUAGAGUGACGCUGAGAUCACUGAAGGAAGACACAAUGUGGCGUCUCUGAGAAUCUGGGUCAGUUUUGUUGGAGGCGGAGAUGGUGAGAUCAGGAUUGAAGAUUUGGUAGAUGAAAACAGAGGUCAAGAACUGAGAUGGGUAUGAGAGGGAGAGAGAGGAGGAGGAAGAUUUGAUGAGAUAGGGAUGAAUAUACUCAGGCUGAUCACCAUGUUUGAGAACAAAGUUUUGGAAGAAGGAAUUGGUGGGAAGUGGGGCAGUAAGGAGGUCGGGAGAAAAGAAGGGGGAAGGAUCAGGUAUGACUGAGGAUUCGAUUUUUGGAAAGAGGAAGGGGGAGGAUUGUGGAAUGUGAUGGUGGUGAUGGGGUUCUGCCAUGAUUGGUGAUGAAGGAGACAGAGGAGACAAAGGAGACAAAGGAGGAGGCGGAGAAGGAGGUGGAGUUAUGGUUUUGGGGGUUUUAGGUGGUUUUGAACGUUUUUUGAAGCUCUUGCUAAUCACGAGUUUGACUUUUCUUCUGAUUUUUUUCAACAUCUCGAGGUGAUUGAUUGGUGAGCCUUGACCCAACUGUUAAAUUAUCGAAGAACGCAAAUAGAUCGAGGAUUUGUUAGGGAUUUUGAUACAGAAAACGGAGAAAAUGGAGGCAAUGGAAACGGAGAAAAUGGAGGCUGUUUGCCUCUAAUUGGAUGGAACUUUCCACCCACAUUCACAACCAGAGUGGGGUAGGUUUGGCCCUUUUGGGUGGGACUUGAAUUAAGAAUGUGAAAACAGGGAAAUGGGGGAAGUAAGAGGAAGAAGAAUGGAUUGGAAGGGAAGUUUGUGGGCUCUGCAAGUUAUGGUUUUGAUGAAUGGCAUGAUUGCAAGACAUGUUAAAUGGUUUUCAAAGGAAUAUGUGUAGGGAGGGACAAGACACUGGGGUGGUUAGGGAAUGUUUGGCAUACAAGAAAGUAAUGGGGUGAAUAUUCCUUUUUUAAGUUUUUCAGAGAAUGAGUGAAGCUUCACAACAUUUAGACAAUGGAUGCCACCUAUUUUAACCAAUGCUAAUGUUUUGAACCCUUGAUUUAUAUAACCAAACACAUCUUUCAAUUUCAGGUAUUUGAUUUUGGGUAAUUUCUCUUAUUGCAAGAAAGCCUUGCUACAAAGAAAGAAUAGCAAGAAAAGAAGAAAAAUUUUAGAAAAUGUCAACCAUCCAUGAGAAUAAUGGUGUAGUCAUUCACACAAAGUCUCAUGAGAAUUUAUAACACUUCUUGAUAUCCGUUGUCUUAUAUUUUGGGCUUAGAUUUCAAAAGAAAGAAUCAAUUGUAUUUUGGGCUUGAAAUUUCUUUGGGGUUUUGGCCCAAAUUGGGUUUUUAAAUAAGCAAUUGGGUUUGGUCCAAACUAGUUUGAGCCCAAUUAGUCCAUUAAAAAUGUUUAAAACCCUUUUCAACAAAUUUAAUUUCCAAUAUCAAAAGAUUCAAAAUCUAAUUCGAAGCUUUUGUUUUAACCUAUUUUUGAAUGAAGAACCUACCCAACUGUACCAAAUUACACUACAUAUUAUAGUUAAUACCACAUAAGCAACGCCAACAAUCACUCUAACCCCAUUAUUUCCUGCAUAAUGAGAAUUUUUUUUAUAAUUGUUCUGUGAUUUAAAAAUAGGAAAAUUAUCAAAAAAGUGGGCUAAAGAUGAUAAUGUCUAGGAAGAACUUAUGAAUUCAUAUGAAGGACAAAAUUUAUCAUAGUAUAAUUAUGUAUUUGAAUGUGAUCUUUUAUAUAUAAAUAACUUCAUGAUGAUGAUAAGGAUAGUCUAUCAAUAUUUGCAUAUAUCGGUUUCCAAAAUAUCAUUUUUCCCUUUUGAAUAAUAUUUGCAUAUAAGGAUACUCAAUCAAUAUUUGCAUAUAAAUAACUUCAUGAUGAAUUCAUAUUAUUUUUUCUUUGACCUAUAUAUAUAUAUAUAUAUAGGUCAAAGAAAAAAUAAUAAAAUAUUAAAAUAAAAAAUUAUAUAUUUUUUUUGUUAUUUUCAUUAUAAUAAAUUAAAUUAUUUGAAAUAUACUUUUUUUUUUCAAGUUCUUUUUUUUUCUUCAAAAAACUUGAGAUUUUUUAGAGAAUCCGGUAAAAAAAAUUAAUUUUCAAUCUCUCCUAAAUAAAAAUCACGCCCUAAGGUUAUUAUGUCAUUAUAUAUAUAAUUAAAAGUUUUAUUAUUCUAAUAGAAUAAACAAUGAUUUUUCACGAGUACUCAUCAAUUGAAAAAUAUUCAACUAUUUGUUUGGUAAUAUAGCAUGUGAAUUUUUUUUUAAAAUAAAUUAAAUUAUGUUAUAAUGUAUUAUUACAUUAGUGUAUUUGUAUUAUAAGUAUACUGCAUUUAUGUUGUACCUAUAUUUUAUGACAAAAGUAAUGAUUCUAAAAAUACCUAUUCAUACCCUAUUGUAUCUUAUAUAAAAGUUAUUAGUAUUUUCUCAUUUAAAAAAAAAAAGUAUAUCCAAAUUAUAAAUCUAACCUCUAUUUUUAAAUUAAUUUCAAGGUAAAAAGAUGAAAAGAAUGUUAAGUACAACGUAUGUCUUCAACCAAGAUAAAGGAAAGGAUCAAUUAUGUGUAAAAGAGAGACUCAAAUAAAGUAGAAGAGUUCAAGUAAAGGUGUGAGCAAGUCUUACGCAUGAGAGAUUGGAAAUAAAUAUUAUGGAGAGAGUUAGAGAACGCACAACCAUAAGAGAUAAGAAAUAAAUAUUAUGGAGAGAGUUAGAGAGCGCACAACCAUGAGAGAGAAGGUUUGAAGCCUUGUUGUCAAGUUCAAAGGGAAAUUGGAACUCAAACUAAUGCAUCAACACUAACCCUAACUUUGAGUUUAAUUCUAGGUAGACUCCUAUGAGUUUUAUGAUAAAUCGCACAUAUAGUUUGGAAGCUUUUAAAAGUCAGAAAUCCAACUCUUUAAAUUAUUUGUAAAUCAAAGUUAAAACAAAGAAGAUAUGAUAAACCCAAUUGAAUUACAUGGAAAAAAAAUAGUCUAAUUUAAAAAUUACAAAUUAAGCUCUAAAUAGUGUUCAAUCAUUUGGACCUCAAAGGCAAUACGACAAAGAAAAAGGCACCGGUGAAAUUUGAAACCCAACAUUCAUUUUGAAUAUAGGGACACUAUUUUAAACCCAAAACACGGAGGAAACAAAAUAAGUAUUGGUUGAGUUUGAAAUAAUCGGUAGAUUUCAAACUCAACUAGUUAAUUUUGUACUAAACCAUUUUAGAGACUUAGGCCACUUAUGAGUAUGAGAAAGCAAAACAUUAUUGAGAUUUUGCUAUUUUUUAUCUUAAAAAAGGUUGAAUAGUUCUAAAAUGAUCAUAGCUACCUUUUAGGUAGAUAAAUAACAAGAGUGGCUAUAAAGACUUUGUAGGCAAAAGGAGCAACAAGGGUGUUUUGGUAUUUUCCACAAACUUAUAUUUGUGUGUAUAUGUUAAGGUUAUUAUUAUUAUUAUUAUUAUUAUUCACUUGAAAGUCCUAAACUUUAUUGUUUAAUGAUCUAAUUUUAUUAGAAGUUUGUUCUUUCUUAGGUUCCAAUUUGGGUGGUUCAACUCAAAUCUAACUAACCCAAUUUUGCAUGGACUUAGGUGAUUUAAUUUGUAAAUUAGGUUUGGCUUGGUCAAAAAAUAUCAACCUAGAUUAAAUUUAGGUUGGGCUUGGGUAAGGGUCUCAAGAAACCUCAACCUAGCACAAACCCAAUUGUAUAUUUGUAUAAAAUUUAAAUUAUAAAUUUUUAUGUAUGUAUUGUAUGUAUGUAUAUAUAUUAUUUCAUGGUAUUGUACUGAGAAUCUUUUUGGUAAUGCUUUCAAAAAUUAUUUCUAGCUUAAAAAGUCAUUUUUGAAAAAAUGAUCAGACAAAAUUUAAAAAAUACUUUUAUAAAGUUAAAAAAUCACUUGUAGUGUAAACGACCUGAACAGUUGGAGAAAAGAAACUUAGCAUUUCACAUGAUGCUGAAGCAGAUGUGGAAUAGUUGUUCUUCAGUUUCAGCUAAGAAAUUGAGAAGACAGGGCAAUAUGCAUAAAUCAAUCCAGUCAUGGCUGCCCAAAGGAAAGAUUCAUCCAAUCUUCGGGCAUAAUUUAUUCGACUACAUCCCGAAUGUAAGGCAAAGAAUUUCACUGAUAAUACUGGCCAAACCAGGAUAAUUUUCCUCCUUCAAGUCCCCCUUCCCCUUCAUCUCCUCUGCUGUGAAUCCACCACAAAAGGUUCGUAAGUGAGUUUCCAUCAUCAUAACCACUCAGUUUCCCGAUCUUCUCCAAUGCCACUUCUUUGUCAUAAAUCCCUUCCAUGGCAUAUAGAAACCCCUUCCACCCUUCUCCAACUCCCUCCCGUCCCAAAGCUGGCAAUGUCCAUUUCACCAGCUCUCUCACAAACCCCACAUCGGAGAACAGAACCUCGGUGAUGGGCAAUACAGGUAACACCUGAAUUCCAAGCCUGCACUCUCUCCACUCAGGAGGAGCAAACCAAAGUCCACCGUCCCUCUUGUUAGCCCACAGAAUACCCACCACCCUGUUCUCCCUUGUGAAAUCUUCUGCAUACAUUUUAUCCCCUUCUCUCACAUGCCACCAUGUUUGAGCUGCCUCUAUCUCCAUUGCUGCAAGCGUUGACCCAGUGGCUACAAGAGGGGCAUCUCCAUAGGCUAAUCCCAUCAAUGCUGCAGAAUAGUAGGUAUUCACAGCUUCACUAGUGCUCUCCUGGUUCCUCCCGCCUGAAGAUUCAGUCACCCCACUUGCCCAAGAAUGCAAUUUCCAUAAAUCAAAACACCUCAAACGAGUAUAGUUGGAAUUCGAAUUCCUCCCUAAGUUCAUGACAUCCGCCAUUAGGGAAUAAGCUUGAGGUCUAUACUUCCUCCCCCAUGCAGGGUCAAUCUUGGCCAGCACUGCAAUUGCAUAAAGAAAAUAACCCAGAUGGAAAUGGUGAUCGUUGUACACUCCAAAACCAAAAUCUGCCCCCGAUUCCGUUGAUCCUUGUUUAGUAACAAGUCCACCCCACAUUCCAUCAUACAAGAAACCAUUCCCACCAAAACUACCAUCCAACCAGGGGGUAAUCGUAUUCUUCAAGAAAUUCCUAAUUGCCGGUAUCACAUCAAGGAAACUCACCUCCUCUGCAAUCAGUGCCAAUCUCGCUCCCCUGGCAAUCAAUUUCCCGUAAUAAUAAGAGGAUGGUGUCCAUAUACCACCGGAUGAAUUCAGUGAUGGAAAGGGCGGUGUGGGCGGAGACAGCGCAGGUGAGAAAGGGGCUUCCCCGGACGAGGAAGAAGCGGAGAUUGGAAGAAGGGAGGUCUAGAGUGACACUGAGAUCACUGAAGGAAGACACAAUGUGGCGCCUCUGUGAAUCAGCGUGGGUUUUGUCCGAGGCAGAGAUGGUGAGAUCAGCAUUGAAGAUUUGGUGGGUGAAAACAGAGUUGGAGAAAUGAGAUGCG
Molecule: long non-coding RNA, 5546 nt
Filed under: Vitis vinifera (wine grape)
Lineage: Eukaryota; Viridiplantae; Streptophyta; Magnoliopsida; Vitales; Vitaceae
Description: long non-coding RNA (VVIN_LNC004772)
Source: RNAcentral